UUUUUUUUUUUUCUUUCUUUUUAGAGCCAUACUCAGGGCUUAAGGUAGUUCAGAUCUGAGCCAUAUCUGCAACCUAUACCACAGCUCAAGGCAACAGCGGAUCCCUAACCCACUGAGCGAGGCCAGGGAUUGAAACUGCGUCCUCAUGGAGGAGAAGAAAGCGAGGUGAAGUGGGGGUGGACCUCCAUCCCUUCCAGAAGUCCCCUGGGACACGUCUGAGCAGAUUGGCACGAUCCUAGCUAUAAGCCCAUGACCAAGACAAAAGGAGUGAACGAGUAUUUACUGUAAUAUAGCCUGGCCAAGGGCCUGAUGGGGCUGCCUGGGGCUCUGGCCUCCCAUGGCCCGUCUCUGGGAGGAGGAGGACUCCUGGGGAACCUGGCAGAGACUGACCACUCCCCCUGUGUGUGGGGAAGCAAGACCUACCCAGCUGGAAAAAGCCAGGCUUCUGUACUGAGAUGAUCCACAAAAAAUGGUGGAAAUGGUCCUUCGCGUUGUUUUUCACACCACUGCCCAAGCUGGACCCGUGUGCAGGCAUUGGUGAGUACAGGCUGACAGCCCAGGAACAGCCCUGGGUUCUAGACAAAGCCUGGGAGGUAGCGGGUUGCCUCCACCAGGAGGAUGCGGCCAACACCCGCUCCCCUGGGAUGCCCUGAACGGCUCCACAUCACACGUCAUCCAGACGCAACACCCUCGUUCAUCUCCAAUCCCUGCUUCCCAGCUUGGAAGCUGCUAACCAGUCUCCCAGGCCAGACACAUCCCCCCUCAGCUGGUACUACUCCCAGAUCUUUCCAGACCCCCACCUGGAUGGCAGCUUUGGGGCUCAGCAGCCAGACUUCAUGUCCACGGAGUCUGCAUUUCCUCCAUGAGGCUCCACCUUGGAGUAAUGGGCUUGGAGUCUCCUUCCCAAACUGGGGAGAGGCACAUGUCCAGGCAAACCUGGGGGGAAGGGAGCAAACCGGUUCCCCCUGCCAUGUCAUCUUGUCCCCACUGCCUUGCUCUCCCCUAGGGCCUCUCCCUGCUCACCUCUGCACCUGCCCUCCUCUGGGUGGGGCUGUGUCCCCUCAGGUGGCAUCUCCUUCUAGGGGUGGCUGCAGGGAGGAGAGGCCAGACCCCUUCAGGGUUUCUGUGAAGGAGGCCGUGGCCCUGAGGUGGGUCCUGGAUUCCCAGAGCCGCCAUUUUUGGUCCUGGGCUCCCACCCACGGGCCCUGCUGCAAUGCUGGGCUGGAGAGCACAGGGCUCAAACCCACAGCUUUGGCACAGUUGUCUGGGUUCCCACUCCUAGUCAUGGGUUUUAGGGAAACACUAAAUCCCUGAGCCUUGGUGUCCUCAUCUGUAAAAUGGCGUUAGUAGCACAAGCCACAGUCCCUUUCUAAAACCAUUGGUUCAUACUCCAGAAUUCAGAAAUUUUCAGCCUCACCAGGUGACAUGGUACAUCUACUCAAUUUAACACGACACCCACUGGUGUCUGAAAAUACCUUGUAGUGAAGCACAGUAAUCUUUCUGCAACUGCACUUUUGUUGUUGUUGUUGUUUAUUAAGUUAUUUUUAUUUUGUUCCCUGAUAGCUGGUUGACAGUGUUCUGUCAGUUUUCUACUGCACAGCAAGGUGACCCAAUUACACAUACAUAUAGGCACUCUUUUUUCUCACCUUAUCACGCUCCAUCAUAAGUUGCAGCUGUACUUCUGAACAUUCAUACCAAGUGAAAGAAAUAAAGACCAUGAAGUAUUUCAUAU
RNAcentral lists this long non-coding RNA (1732 nucleotides) under Sus scrofa (pig). Its description in RNAcentral is "lncRNA (ENSSSCG00035016087.1)". The record is from RNAcentral. Lineage: Eukaryota; Metazoa; Chordata; Mammalia; Artiodactyla; Suidae.